UACCUACCUAUCUUGCUUGGAUUCUUGAAAAAAAACAUAGUGGUGUGUGAGCACAAGAAGCAGGAGGACCUUCAGACUGGAUCAGCCAAUCACAACUCAGGAAAUACACCUGUCAGUGCGGGGAGCACGGAGAUUGGUCAGACCACGGGAGCGACACCUGAGCUCAAAGGUGUACAUGUAAACCAAGACCCUCACAAAGUUGGUCACCCUGCUUGAAGACUUCAUGAAGACGGUGUUGCCUGUUGCUGCUUCACAAAAGGAUCUGUCCAAAAUACUUUCUCUUCUCUUUUUUUUCUUUAAGAUUUUACUGUUGUUACAAACUGUCUCUAAGACUGAGUCUUCUACGGGGCAAACCUGUCCAACUGAAACACGGAUAAGAUGAGAAACACGUCACCGACAGCACAAUGGUAGCUCUUGUCCGAGGCUAUGAAAAGCAGACAGGUGGAGAGAAGAGGAGGCCUCACAUGCUGCUUCAGAGAGCUGUGCCAUCCCACUGACGCCAGAGUUGUAAGUGCUGAUCAGACCAGGGGCUUCUCUGUAAUGGUCUCUAGCAUUGCUCCAUACUUUGUAUAAAUCUAAUUUUAGCGCAUACUGCUUAAUGAAUUGUGCCUGUCUAGAUAGCAAAAAAAAAGAUGCAAAGCAACAGAAUUAAUGUUAUAUUCUACAUUAUGAGCUUUAAAGCUUUUCACU
Clupea harengus (Atlantic herring) is the source of this 690-nucleotide long non-coding RNA. RefSeq lists it as uncharacterized. NCBI's taxonomy places the organism in Eukaryota, Metazoa, Chordata, Actinopteri, Clupeiformes, Clupeidae. The transcript is spliced from 2 exons. The record is from RefSeq and is a predicted model, not a curated record.